RNAcentral lists this ribosomal RNA (2625 nucleotides) under Triticum aestivum (bread wheat). Its description in RNAcentral is "partial small subunit ribosomal RNA". Lineage: Eukaryota; Viridiplantae; Streptophyta; Magnoliopsida; Poales; Poaceae. The record is from RNAcentral.
AUGGGGAAGAAGGGCAAGCGGCGGGGCGAGGCUGCCGCUACGGGUGCGCCGGAGGAGGCUCCCGCGGUAUCCGCUGCCGCUUCUGAUUCAGCCACGCCGAGGAGGAGCAGGCGACGGGGCGGCGACGCCAGGGCCGCGCAGGAGGCCUCCGCCACUGUACACGCACUGGAUCCCGCCGAUGCAGGGAAGGGGACAACGGACAGGGAAAAGAAGCCUAAGCUCAACGAACGAAAGAAGAAUAAGAGGGAGCAAUCUCCUUGUGCUGCUGCAUCGGGUGCUGAUGCUGCCGCCACGGGUAAAUCAGGUGAUGACUGCACUGAUGGGGAAGGUGUUCUAGGAGACUCUGAAGUUCACAAGAAAAGAAAAAGGAGUAAGAAGAUUACGCAGGAGCCAUCCUCUUCUACUGUGUCUGAUGACAACGCUAUUGAGGUAAACAAAUCCGGAGUUGGCUGCAAAAAUGUGGAAGAUGUACCAGGAGAUGAUGAAGCUAGUAGGCGUCCCAGAAAUGAAGAGGAUCUAGGCUUUUCUGCUGCAAACAUUGCAGAGCAGGAUGUACCCAAGGGUAAGAAGUCCAAGCUGGGGAAACGGAAUAAGAACAAGCAUGAACCAUCCUUUCCUGCUGUAGUGGAUGCCGCCAUUGUGGUUGGUAAAUCUGAAAGUGACAGCACAGAUGGGAAGGGUAUUCCAGGAGUUGCUGAAAUUAGUAUGAGUGCCAGAAAUGGAGAGGGUCAAGACUGUCCCGAGGUAAACAUUGUGGAGGAGACACUGGAGAGGAAGGAGCCUGAACCCAGGAAAUGGAAGAAGAAUAAGCAUGGGCGAUCCCCUGCUGCUGUGUCUGAUGAUGGUGCUGUUGAGGCAGACAAAUCUGGAAAUGUUGGCACGGAUGGGGAUGAUGCUUUGGGAGAUGCUCAAGUUAGUAUGAGCACAGUAGAGGAUCCAUGCUGUCCAGAGGCAAACAUGGCAGAGAAGGGGACACAGGAGGAGAAGAAGCGUAAGCCCAAGAAACGAAAGAAUAACAAGGAAGGAUCCCCUUCUGUUGUACUUGAUACUGGUGCUGUUGUGGCAGAUGAAUCUGGAAUUAGGUGUAUGAAUGGUGAUGGUGCACCACAGGAUGGUGAAGCUAGUAUUAGCCCUAGAGAUGGAGAGGACUCAAAAUGUCCUGGAGUAGACUUUACAGAGAAGGGGGUACCAAAGUUGAAGAAGAAUAAGCUCAACAAAUGGAAGAAGAAGAACCAGGAGCAAUCCCCUUCUACCUUGUUGGAUGCCGGUGAUGUUGUGCCAGAUAAAUCAGGACGUGGCAGCACAAAUGUGGAAGCUGCAUCCAGAGGUGGUGAUGUUACUACGAGUCCCAAACCGGAAGAGGGUCCAGAAUGUCCCAAUGUAAACAUAACUGAGCAUUUGGUGAAGGAAAAUAAAGUGAAUGAAGACUACUCUCAGGAACCUAAGCUCAAGAAACAGAAGAAAUGUAAGCAAGAUCAAUCCCCUUCUGCUAGACCAGACACCAGUGCUGUUGUGGUGGAUAAAAUUGAAAAGGGCUACAUAGAAGGCGAAGGAGGGGAAGGUCUACCAGGAGAUACUGAAAUCAGUAUGAGUCCCAGAAAUGGAAAGGGACCAGAUUGUCCUGAGGUAAACAUAGCUGAAAAUUUGGUGGAGGGAAAGAAUGAGAAUAACGGCAACUCUCAUAAGCCUAAGCGGAAGAAACGGAGAAGGAAGAAGAGGGCUCAAGUAGCUGUUACUGAGGCACCUGCGGUGGGUGAUGUCAGCUCAGAUGAAAGGAACGAUGUGUGUAGAACAGGUACCGUGAAGGUUACAGGAAGUAUGGGAUACUCAAUAUGUGAAUCUGAGGUUACUGCAAAAAAUGUUGUCCAGGACAUGUACUCACCAGGAGGAUCGCUUGUAAGGUUUCAGAGGAAAAAACUUCUUAUUCUUGAUCUUAAUGGUCUGCUUGCGGAUAUCACUCCAAUCCACCGCAACUCUCGAGACUCUCGCUUGGCACAUGCAAAAGUUCGAGGCAAAUAUGUCUUCAUAAGACCAUACCAUGACGAUUUUCUGAGAUUUUGCUUCCAGAACUUUGAGCUAGGGGUAUGGUCGUCGAGAAUGAAAGUAAAUGUGGAUGAUGUUGUCGAUAUCCUUAUGAAAGAUCUCAGGCGACACUUGCUAUUCUGCUGGGAUGCAUCUCACUGCACUGCUACCAAGUGUAAUACUCUUGAGAAUCAAUGCAAACCCUUAGUAUUGAAGGAACUAAAGAAACUGUGGAAUAAAGAGGACCCUGAUCUUCCGUGGGAGCAAGGGGAAUUUUCACCUUCGAAUACUUUGCUUGUGGAUGAUUCCCCUUACAAGGCUCUGUGCAAUCCGGUACUGAGUUGUACCCUCUGCUCCUAUUGUGUUCCACACACUGCCAUUUUCCCACAACCCUACAGCUACCAUAACAGGACGGAUAAUUCAUUGGGACCAGGUGGAGAUCUUCGUGUGUAUCUAGAGAACCUUGCUGCUGCAGAUGAUGUUCAGCGUUAUGUUCAGGAGCACCCUUUUGGUCAACCUUUCAUUACUGAGAGUGAUCCGAAUUGGGAUUUCUAUGCAAAAAUACGUGACAGACUGGAGAAGCCAGAAAAGUGUGCCGCUUGA